GAUGAAGAACGUAGCGAAAUGCGAUAAGUAAUGUGAAUUGCAGAAUUCAGUGAAUCAUCGAAUCUUUGAACGCACAUUGCGCCCGCCAGUAUUCUGGCGGGCAUGCCUGUUCGAGCGUCAUUACAACCCUCAGGCCCCCGGGCCUGGCGUUGGGGAUCGGCGGAAGCCCCCUGUGGGCACACGCCGUCCCUCAAAUACAGUGGCGGUCCCGCCGCAGCUUCCAUUGCGUAGUAGCUAACACCUCGCAACUGGAGAGCGGCGCGGCCAUGCCGUAAAACACCCAACUUCUGAAUGUUGACCUCGAAUCAGGUAGGAAUACCCGCUGAACUUAAGUAUAUCAAUAAGCGGAGGA
Molecule: unclassified non-coding RNA, 352 nt
Filed under: soil metagenome
Description: partial contains 5.8S ribosomal RNA, internal transcribed spacer 2, and large subunit ribosomal RNA
Rfam family: 5.8S ribosomal RNA (bases 1-120)
Source: RNAcentral